RNAcentral lists this ribosomal RNA (275 nucleotides) under uncultured bacterium. RNAcentral's name for it is "partial 16S ribosomal RNA". It matches the Rfam family "Bacterial small subunit ribosomal RNA", at positions 338 to 610 of the family's 1533-position model. The record is from RNAcentral.
CCUACGGGUGGCUGCAGUAAGGAAUAUUGGACAAUGGACGCAAGUCUGAUCCAGCCAUCCCGCGUGGAGGAAUAAAGCCCUAUGGGUUGUAAACUCCUUUAGCUAGGGAAUAAAUCAUUGGAUUCAUCCGAUGUUGAAGGUACCUAGAGAAUAAGCACCGGCUAACUCCGUGCCAGCAGCCGCGGUAAUACGGAGGGUGCAAGCGUUAUCCGGAUUUACUGGGUUUAAAGGGUGCGUAGGUGGUUUAAUAAGUCAGUGGUGAAAUUUACCCGCUU